RNAcentral lists this long non-coding RNA (244 nucleotides) under Homo sapiens (human). RNAcentral describes it as "HSALNT0277403". The record is from RNAcentral. Lineage: Eukaryota; Metazoa; Chordata; Mammalia; Primates; Hominidae.
CAAGGAUUCAAAUCCCAGGAGUCCGGUGCUUGCAUAAAUGAAAGGAUGAAUGAACGGAUAUUGAGUGAGUGAGUGGAUGAAGGAAGGAGUAAAGGAGAGGGCAUGAAUGAAUGAGAGGGUAGAACUCCAAGACCCCUUAGAACCUCGUCUGAUGUUCCCAUUUUACAGACAGAAAACUGAGUCCUAGACAGAGGCCUAGAGGAGGCCAAGAGGUGGUGGGGCCAGGUCGGGGGGGCCCUGAUGC